RNAcentral lists this ribosomal RNA (468 nucleotides) under uncultured bacterium. Its description in RNAcentral is "partial 16S ribosomal RNA". It matches the Rfam family "Bacterial small subunit ribosomal RNA", at positions 28 to 507 of the family's 1533-position model. The record is from RNAcentral.
GACGAACGCUGGCGGCGUGCUUAACACAUGCAAGUCGAACGGAAAGGCCCUGCUUUUGUGGGGUGCUCGAGUGGCGAACGGGUGAGUAACACGUGAGUAACCUGCCCUUGACUUUGGGAUAACUUCAGGAAACUGGGGCUAAUACCGGAUAGGAGCUCCUGCUGCAUGGUGGGGGUUGGAAAGUUUCGGCGGUUGGGGAUGGACUCGCGGCUUAUCAGCUUGUUGGUGGGGUAGUGGCUUACCAAGGCUUUGACGGGUAGCCGGCCUGAGAGGGUGACCGGCCACAUUGGGACUGAGAUACGGCCCAGACUCCUACGGGAGGCAGCAGUGGGGAAUAUUGCACAAUGGGCGGAAGCCUGAUGCAGCAACGCCGCGUGCGGGAUGACGGCCUUCGGGUUGUAAACCGCUUUCGCCAGUGAAGAAGCGUGAGUGACGGUAAUGGGUAAAGAAGCACCGGCUAACUACGUG